UUUCCGGUUGAUCCUGCCGGAGGCCUUUGCUAUUGGAGUCCGAUUUAGCCAUGCUAGUCGUACGAGUUCACACUCGUGGCGAAUAGCUCAGUAACACGUGGCCAAUCUCCCCCACAGCGGCGGACACCCUCGGGAAACUGAGGCUAAUAGCGGACACCACACGCAGACUGGAAUGUCGCGUGUGUCAAACGCUCCGGCGCCGAAGGAUGUGGCUGCGGCCGAUUAGGUAGACGGUGGGGUAACGGCCCACCGUGCCAAUAAUCGGUACGGGUCAUGAGAGUGAGAACCCGGAGACGGAAUCUGAGACAAGAUUCCGGGCCCUACGGGGCGCAGCAGGCGCGAAACCUUUACACUGCACGCCAGUGCGAUAAGGGGAUCCCAAGUGCGAGGGCAUAUCGUCCUCGCUAUCCUGUACUGUAGGGUAGUACAGUAUCAAGAGCUGGGCAAGACCGGUGCCAGCCGCCGCGGUAAUACCGGCAGCUCGAGUGAUGUCCAAUAUUAUUGGGCCUAAAGCGUCCGUAGCUGGCCGCGCAAGUCCGUCGGGAAAUCCACCUGCCCAACAGGUGGGCGUCCGGCGGAAACUGUGUGGCUUGGAACCGGAAGGCUCAGAGGGUACGUCCGGGGUAGGAGUGAAAUCCCGUAAUCCCGGACGGACCACCGAUGGCGAAAGCACUCUGAGAAGACGGCUUCGACAGUGAGGGACGAAAGCUAGGGUCUCAAACCGGAUUAGAUACCCGGGUAGUCCUAGCUGUAAACGAUGCUCGUUAGGUGUGGCACCCACUACGAGUGGGUGCUGUGCCGCAGGGAAGCCGCUAAACGAGCCGCCUGGGAAGUACGUCCGCAAGGAUGAAACUUAAAGGAAUUGGCGGGGGAGCACUACAACCGGAGGAGCCUGCGGUUUAAUUGGAUUCACGCCGGAA
RNAcentral lists this ribosomal RNA (920 nucleotides) under uncultured archaeon. Its description in RNAcentral is "bacterial SSU rRNA". It matches the Rfam family "Archaeal small subunit ribosomal RNA", at positions 1 to 923 of the family's 1478-position model. The record is from RNAcentral.